GUAGAGCCAGUCUGACUCUGCCCGACAUGGGCACAGAUUCAGAAUAGAGCUGUCACUAAUUGGUCCCAUCUAUCGCCACCACAAAUCUGUGAGAAAUCGGAGGCAUCUUUCUGAGAAGAACAGAAAUCUAAUGCGUUUUGUAACUCAACCAUGGUCAGAGUUUAAAACUUGAUGAGAAGAUUUACUCUUUCGGGCCCUGGAGGAACAAGGCAAGUUAUGGAUCUUGAACAGACAAAUAGGACAUCACUGGGAAGGCAGACAGAGUGUGACAGAAAUUCUUUCACAUGUGAUACUAAUGUGCUUCCUGCAUGUUUUCUGACACACCAUGUCACCAUGCAUGUUUAAAUUUGUUCAGGUGGUUUGCCAGGAACACAGUUAUCAGGUCAAAGAUGGGUACUUUGAAAGCCACAAAGGAAGUCUAAUACACAGAAAUAAAAGCCAAGUGAACAGUGGCUGAAUCACAAGCCUCAGGUUAACCUUCUUGGGACCACAAGCCUUUCGCAGAACUGAAAUACACACCUUCGUGUGAAAUUGACUCCUUGCAGAUUGCUAUUGAUCACAAUUAUAGACAUAAAUUAACUGAGUGUAGAGAAUUGUGGAACAUGCCUCAAUUCAUGGUUGUCCUGAAAUUUUUAUUUAAAAAAUUGCAAUCUGUGGUCCAGAGAGGUUAUCACAAUCCUUUAUCUGAUGAAGUACAUUA
Molecule: long non-coding RNA, 700 nt
Organism: Carcharodon carcharias (great white shark)
Lineage: Eukaryota; Metazoa; Chordata; Chondrichthyes; Lamniformes; Lamnidae
Exons: 4
Source: RefSeq, a predicted model, not a curated record